RNAcentral lists this ribosomal RNA (253 nucleotides) under uncultured bacterium. RNAcentral describes it as "partial 16S ribosomal RNA". It matches the Rfam family "Bacterial small subunit ribosomal RNA", at positions 524 to 776 of the family's 1533-position model. The record is from RNAcentral.
UACGGGGGGGGCAAGCGUUGUUCGGAAUUACUGGGCGUAAAGGGCUCGUAGGCGGCCAACUAAGUCAGACGUGAAAUCCCUCGGCUUAACCGGGGAACUGCCUCUGAUACUGGAUGGCUUGAGAUUGGGAGAGGGAUGCGGAAUUCCAGGUGUAGCGGUGAAAUGCGUAGAUAUCUGGAGGAACACCGGUGGCGAAGGCGGCUACCUGGACAAUUGCUGACGCUCAGGCACGAAAGCGUGGGGAGCAAAAGGG